UACGUAGGUGGCAAGCGUUGUCCGGAUUUAUUGGGCGUAAAGGGCUCGUAGGCGGUCUGUCACGUCGGGAGUGAAAACUCAGGGCUUAACCCUGAGCCUGCUUCCGAUACGGGCAGACUAGAGGUAUGCAGGGGAGAACGGAAUUCCUGGUGUAGCGGUGAAAUGCGCAGAUAUCAGGAGGAACACCGGUGGCGAAGGCGGCUCUCUGGACCGGUACUGACGCUGAUCUGCGAAAGCCAGGGGAGCAAACGGG
This 253-nucleotide ribosomal RNA is filed under the name uncultured bacterium. RNAcentral's name for it is "partial 16S ribosomal RNA". It matches the Rfam family "Bacterial small subunit ribosomal RNA", at positions 524 to 776 of the family's 1533-position model. The record is from RNAcentral.